This 468-nucleotide ribosomal RNA is filed under the name uncultured bacterium. RNAcentral's name for it is "partial 16S ribosomal RNA". It matches the Rfam family "Bacterial small subunit ribosomal RNA", at positions 28 to 507 of the family's 1533-position model. The record is from RNAcentral.
GACGAACGCUGGCGGCGUGCUUAACACAUGCAAGUCGAACGGAAAGGCCCUGCUUUUGUGGGGUGCUCGAGUGGCGAACGGGUGAGUAACACGUGUGUAACCUGCCCUUGACUUUGGGAUAACUUCAGGAAACUGGGGCUAAUACCGGAUAGGAGCUCCUGCUGCAUGGUGGGGGUUGGAUAGUUUCGGCGGUUGGGUCUGGACUCGCGGCUUAUCAGCUUGUUGGUUGGGUAGUGACUUACCAAGGCUUUGACGGGUAGCCGGCCUGAGCGGGUGACCGGCAACACUAGGACUGAGAGACGGACCAGACUCCUACGGGAGGCAACAGGGGGGAAUAUUGCACAAUAGACGGAAGCGUGAGGCAGCAAAGCCGCGUGCGGGAUGACGGCCUACGGGUUAAAAACCGCUGUCGCCUGGGACGAAGCGUGAGUGACGGUAAGGGGUAAAGAAGCACCGGCUAACUACGUG